Molecule: ribosomal RNA, 429 nt
Filed under: Bacteroidota bacterium
Lineage: Bacteria; Pseudomonadati; Bacteroidota
Description: Bacteroidetes bacterium partial 16S ribosomal RNA
Rfam family: Bacterial small subunit ribosomal RNA
Source: RNAcentral
UAGGGAAUCUUCCGCAAUGGCCGCAAGUCUGACGGAGCAACGCCGCGUGAGUGAAGAAGGAUUUCGGUUCGUAAAACUCUGUUGUUAGAGAAGAACAGCGCAUAGAGUAACUGUUAUGCGUGUGACGGUAUCUAACCAGAAAGCCACGGCUAACUACGUGCCAGCAGCCGCGGUAAUACGUAGGUGGCAAGCGUUGUCCGGAUUUAUUGGGCGUAAAGCGAGCGCAGGCGGUCAAUUAAGUCAGAUGUGAAAGCCCCCGGCUCAACCGGGGAGGGUCAUUGGAAACUGGUUGACUUGAGUGCAGAAGAGGAGAGUGGAAAUCCAUGUGUAGCGGUGAAAUGCGUAGAUAUAUGGAGGAACACCAGUGGCGAAGGCGACUCUCUGGUCUGUAACUGACGCUGAGGCUCGAAAGCGUGGGUAGCAAACAGG